UACAGAGGUCCCGAGCGUUGUUCGGAUUCACUGGGCGUAAAGGGUGCGUAGGUGGUGAGGUAAGUCGGAUGUGAAAGCUCCAAGCUCAACUUGGAAAUGGCAUUGGAAACUACCUUGCUAGAGGGUUUGAGGGGGGACUGGAAUACUUGGUGUAGCAGUGAAAUGCGUAGAUAUCAAGUGGAACACCAGUGGCGAAGGCGAAUCCCUGGAAAACACCUGACACUGAGGCACGAAAGCUAGGGGAGCAAACAGG
This 253-nucleotide ribosomal RNA is filed under the name uncultured bacterium. RNAcentral's name for it is "partial 16S ribosomal RNA". It matches the Rfam family "Bacterial small subunit ribosomal RNA", at positions 524 to 776 of the family's 1533-position model. The record is from RNAcentral.